UAAAUAAACUAUUAUCACCAAACUGCAUAUUAUAACAAUUUUGCACCCAUAUGAAGGUUUUAAGAAAUCAGAUGUCCAAAAAGAAACACAAAAACUUUAAAUAUAAGGUAUACAUAAGCAAGCCAUUGCCCCAUUGUACUAAUAUACAAAUACUAGAUUUUUUGCCCGAGUUGCUGGGCUCUUCAAAUUAACAAAGAAAUAAUUUGAUACUUGUUUUGCCAUGAUUCAUGAAAAUAGUAAUGCGAAGCUGCACGUUAGAUUACAUAUAUAACGUUAGAGUACAUGUUGCAGAAUAUGCCGAGGAGAUCAAAUGCAAAGAUAGCCACAGUAGCGAGUUCCCAUACAUUAUUACAGAAUAGUAUAAUAACUAAGAUAAAGAACAUAACGGAUCAACAGGCCAAGCAUCUUCAGGUUGUGGAAGUAGCAGAUCCUUUUGUUUGAGUCCUUGUACUUGAUUAGCUCAGUGGUUGUUACACCAAUUUGCCAACAUGUAUCCAUGCAUACUUAUUUAAGUUCACAGGCUCAAAUUCAUCUUUCAAUUUUGUUGUUUAAAGUACAAACCUUAACGCGUUCCUCAGAUCCUCGACAGGCUCAUGAUUAUGAUUUAUGAAGAAUCUUGUUGCUUGCAAGUUUGACAACUUUGGCUCACCUAAAACAUUAAUGUUACAAUGUUUUAUGAAUAUAGAGGUAAUUGCAUAUCGCACCCCCUAAGUAUCGUUCAAAAACGAUAGAGUACCUAUACUUUAAGAAAUUCAACUCGCACCCCUUAUCUUUACUUCUCAAAACCGAGAUGCGCCCCCUGCCGUUAACUUCCGUUAACUCAGUGCAUUCCGUUAAGUCACUAUAUAUAUAAUUGCAAUUCAGACCCCCUAACUUACGUUCAAAAACGAUAUUGUACCCGUACUUUUAAAAACCCAAAUCGCACCACCUAUCUUUAUAUUUCAAGAACGAUACGCACCCCCUCCGUUGAAUUCCGUUACCUUCCGUUAAAAUACUCUUCCGUCUCAAUUUAUAUGUCCCUUUUGCUUUUUAAGAAGUCAAAUUGACUAAUUUUUGACCAACUAUUAAAAAAAGUAAAUCUAGUCUAUUUGUUUUCACAAAUAAUAGAGGGCCCGAAUUUCGCAAAUAAUAGAGUUAAUUGCAAUUCGGACCCCCUAUUAUUUACCUCUAUUAAAAUAGGCUAGAUUUACUUUUUGAUGAUAUUUUUUUAAAACAAAAUCUAGUAUAUUUUAAUAUGUAACUUUCUAUUUUCUAAAAUAAUAAAUAAAUAUUGUUUUAAUAAGUUGAUCAAAAAUUAGUCAAUUUGACUUCUCAAAAAGCAAAAGGGACAUGUAAAUUGAGACGGAAGAGUAUUUUAACGGAAGGUAAGGGAAUUCAUCGGAGGGGGUGCGUAUCGUUCUUGAAAUGUAAAGAUAGGUGGUGCGAUUUGGGUUUCCAAAAGUACGGGUACAAUAUCGUUUUUGAACGUAAGUUAGGGGGUCCGAAUUGCAAUUAUAUAUAUAGUGACUUAACGGAGUGCACUGAGUUAACGGAAGUUAACGGCAAGGGGUGUAUCUCGGUUUUGAGAAGUAAAGAUAAAGGGUGCGAGUUGAGUUUCUUAAAGUAUAGGUACUCUAUCGUUUUUGAACGAUACUUAGGGGGUGCGAUAUGCAAUUACCUCAUGAAUAUAUUAGAAAACAUAAAUGUAAUUUUUUGAGAACUACCUUGUAUGAAUUUUGCUUUACAGCUUGAGAUGAUAACGAUUAUUCGAUGUUCGUCAGCAGCAUUGAGUCGUUGAGCAAAAGAUUGAGCCAUUUCAUUGUAGAAUGUAACUUCCGCCCAAGUGCUAUUAAGAGAUGGAUAAAAAGUUUGAAUCCUCCACCAUGUAAUAUUUCUAUAAGAUUAGUGAUUAAAAAGCGAAACACAAACUGCAUAUCAUUGAUUGUAAACUGGAUGCAGGAUUUUUCUUCAUUAUAUUUGUUUCUGAAGUUCAUGAUUGAUUGUACUUGUUCCAGAAUGCCAACAACAUCUGUAUAAUAAGAAACCAUAUAUUUAGAAAUAGAUGCACUCGCUUUGUUGUAGGCUUGUACUUGACAAACACGACUCACCGAUCAGGAAGGUGUCUUCCAAUACAGCAUUGAUUAUAGCGCACAACUCAGUAAAUUGAAAGACAUGAGGCGGGAUGUAAUCCACACCUCCAGUCACAAAGACCUCAGUCAUAUGAUACAGUUGGAUAUAAAUAUCAUUCAUGACCAAACGCCCCUCUAUAACUGCUACAGAUAUUUAAAAUCGUAAUGACGGACUAAAGAUUUUCUGGCCAGACUUUCUACCCAUAUCUAGUGGGUAUGCACUUGAAGCCCAUCUAUCCAUAAUCCACCAGACCACCACAAACGAUAAAUAAACUAUUAUCACCAAACUGCAUAUUAUAACAAUUUUGCACCCAUAUGAAGGUUUUAAGAAAUCAGAUGUCCAAAAAGAAACACAAAAAACUUUAAAUAUAAGGUAUACAUAAGCAAGCCAUCGCCCCAUUGUACUAAUAUACAAAUACAAGUGCCAGAAACUUGUGAGGUAACAUUUAGUAAUGAAUGCACCCCGUAAUCCACUUGUUGCUCUAAGAGUCUCAUGAGGAAGCCAUGGAAUCUUUGGUCAUU
Molecule: long non-coding RNA, 2630 nt
Filed under: Daucus carota (carrot)
Lineage: Eukaryota; Viridiplantae; Streptophyta; Magnoliopsida; Apiales; Apiaceae
Description: long non-coding RNA (DCAR_LNC001368)
Source: RNAcentral